AGGAGUUGAAGUUCGAAUUCAAGAAUUUUCACUUAUUUAUUUUAAAACAAUGAAUUUUUAGUUAUUAGGUUACUUGACAGAAAAAAAUAUCGAACAUUAUAUAUUAUUAAAUUAUUUAAUUAACUAGUGAGAAUAUAAUGAAAGACAACAAAAUGAUGGUUCCUAGCCAGCAUGAUUUAAAAAAAGAAUCAAUGCACUCUGUUUUUUAUUUUUCACGCUU
Molecule: long non-coding RNA, 220 nt
Filed under: Trifolium pratense (red clover)
Lineage: Eukaryota; Viridiplantae; Streptophyta; Magnoliopsida; Fabales; Fabaceae
Description: long non-coding RNA (TPRA_LNC013719)
Source: RNAcentral